Molecule: transfer RNA, 65 nt
Filed under: Afronurus levis
Lineage: Eukaryota; Metazoa; Arthropoda; Insecta; Ephemeroptera; Heptageniidae
Description: tRNA-Met
Source: RNAcentral
AGAAAGAUAAGCUAAGCAUUUAAGCUAAUAGGUUCAUACCCUAUAUAUGGUAAUACCUCUUUCUA